AGAGUUUGAUCAUGGCUCAGAUUGAACGCUGGCGGCAGGCCUAACACAUGCAAGUCGAGCGGUAGCACAGAGAGCUUGCUCUCGGGUGACGAGCGGCGGACGGGUGAGUAAUGUCUGGGAAACUGCCUGAUGGAGGGGGAUAACUACUGGAAACGGUAGCUAAUACCGCAUAACGUCGCAAGACCAAAGUGGGGGACCUUCGGGCCUCAUGCCAUCAGAUGUGCCCAGAUGGGAUUAGCUAGUAGGUGGGGUAACGGCUCACCUAGGCGACGAUCCCUAGCUGGUCUGAGAGGAUGACCAGCCACACUGGAACUGAGACACGGUCCAGACUCCUACGGGAGGCAGCAGUGGGGAAUAUUGCACAAUGGGCGCAAGCCUGAUGCAGCCAUGCCGCGUGUGUGAAGAAGGCCUUCGGGUUGUAAAGCACUUUCAGCGGGGAGGAAGGCGAUAAGGUUAAUAACCUUGUCGAUUGACGUUACCCGCAGAAGAAGCACCGGCUAACUCCGUGCCAGCAGCCGCGGUAAUACGGAGGGUGCAAGCGUUAAUCGGAAUUACUGGGCGUAAAGCGCACGCAGGCGGUCUGUCAAGUCGGAUGUGAAAUCCCCGGGCUCAACCUGGGAACUGCAUUCGAAACUGGCAGGCUAGAGUCUUGUAGAGGGGGGUAGAAUUCCAGGUGUAGCGGUGAAAUGCGUAGAGAUCUGGAGGAAUACCGGUGGCGAAGGCGGCCCCCUGGACAAAGACUGACGCUCAGGUGCGAAAGCGUGGGGAGCAAACAGGAUUAGAUACCCUGGUAGUCCACGCCGUAAACGAUGUCGAUUUGGAGGUUGUGCCCUUGAGGCGUGGCUUCCGGAGCUAACGCGUUAAAUCGACCGCCUGGGGAGUACGGCCGCAAGGUUAAAACUCAAAUGAAUUGACGGGGGCCCGCACAAGCGGUGGAGCAUGUGGUUUAAUUCGAUGCAACGCGAAGAACCUUACCUGGUCUUGACAUCCACAGAACUUUCCAGAGAUGCAUUGGUGCCUUCGGGAACUGUGAGACAGGUGCUGCAUGGCUGUCGUCAGCUCGUGUUGUGAAAUGUUGGGUUAAGUCCCGCAACGAGCGCAACCCUUAUCCUUUGUUGCCAGCGGUCCGGCCGGGAACUCAAAGGAGACUGCCAGUGAUAAACUGGAGGAAGGUGGGGAUGACGUCAAGUCAUCAUGGCCCUUACGACCAGGGCUACACACGUGCUACAAUGGCAUAUACAAAGAGAAGCGACCUCGCGAGAGCAAGCGGACCUCAUAAAGUAUGUCGUAGUCCGGAUUGGAGUCUGCAACUCGACUCCAUGAAGUCGGAAUCGCUAGUAAUCGUAGAUCAGAAUGCUACGGUGAAUACGUUCCCGGGCCUUGUACACACCGCCCGUCACACCAUGGGAGUGGGUUGCAAAAGAAGUAGGUAGCUUAACCUUCGGGAGGGCGCUUACCACUUUGUGAUUCAUGACUGGGGUGAAGUCGUAACAAGGUAACCGUAGGGGAACCUGCGGUUGGAUCACCU
RNAcentral lists this ribosomal RNA (1528 nucleotides) under Klebsiella pneumoniae. RNAcentral describes it as "bacterial SSU rRNA". It matches the Rfam family "Bacterial small subunit ribosomal RNA". The record is from RNAcentral. Lineage: Bacteria; Pseudomonadati; Pseudomonadota; Gammaproteobacteria; Enterobacterales; Enterobacteriaceae.